AACCCAAGACCAGUUCUCGGCGCGCGAAUCUGGCAAAACUCCAGUUUUGCCUAUUUGAGUGCGCCGAGUCUAUUUCUGCAUCCAUUUCACGCAGAAACGACUCCGACUCAGUCCAACACUCUUCAGAUGUGUCGACCAGUCACAAAUACUGAAGCCAAUUCUAUCCAAAGUUCAGAAACACUAUACUAAGUUGGACAAAAUAGUGACGUUUACCAUUUUUUUAAGUUUUAUUAAAGAAAGUAAACGAUUCAUGGCACUGAGUUGGACAAAAUAGAAUUAUUUGACCAAAUAAAUCUUUAUCAGAAUUAUUUAGCAAUUUAUAAAUUUUUUAAGAAUU
RNAcentral lists this long non-coding RNA (337 nucleotides) under Ananas comosus (pineapple). RNAcentral's name for it is "long non-coding RNA (ACOM_LNC031202)". Lineage: Eukaryota; Viridiplantae; Streptophyta; Magnoliopsida; Poales; Bromeliaceae. The record is from RNAcentral.